Molecule: ribosomal RNA, 253 nt
Filed under: uncultured bacterium
Lineage: Bacteria
Description: partial 16S ribosomal RNA
Rfam family: Bacterial small subunit ribosomal RNA
Source: RNAcentral
UACAGAGGUCUCAAGCGUUGUUCGGAUUCAUUGGGCGUACAGGGUGUGUAGGAGGUCGGGUAAGUCAGGUGUGAAAUCUCACAGCUUAACUGUGAAACUGCGCUUGAUACUGCCCGGCUAGAGGAUCGGAGGGGGUAACGGAAUUUAUGGUGUAGCAGUGAAAUGCGUAGAUAUCAUAAGGAACACCGGUGGCGAAGGCGGUUACCUGGAAGAUUCCUGACUCUGAAACACGAAAGCCAGGGGAGCAAACGGG